AGCCUCAUUCUACGUAAGAAUGGACACUGUUGGUCAAUGUGUCCAGAACUGGUCAAUGUGGCUAAAUUAAGACACAGGUCAUGCUUCCAUCACAGUAGCUAUAUUACAGUGGUGACAAUGAGACCUGUAACAUUU
Small nucleolar RNA from Acomys russatus (golden spiny mouse), 135 nucleotides. RefSeq annotates it as small nucleolar RNA SNORA1. Lineage: Eukaryota; Metazoa; Chordata; Mammalia; Rodentia; Muridae. The record is from RefSeq and is a predicted model, not a curated record. The transcript has a single exon.